GAUCUUAUUCGAAUGACUGAUGGAACGUUUAUCACAAGCAUAAAGGUCAAGUCUUGUCACUAGUAUGGAGGACCUGCACAAGCAAUAAAUGCGCCGCAAGCUAGCAAGUCAAGCCCCAUACCUAAGAAAAGACGUUUAAACUAAAGAGAUGAGGCCACGUGCCACUUCAUCCAAGGGCUCCCAUUUCAUAUGUAUCACUAUAAAUACUUCCAUUAUGUAAUGUCAAAGGCUAAUGCAAGAAUCAAUACUAAAGACUACAUUUACUCAACUCUCUCUCAUUCACUUGCAAUACAC
This 294-nucleotide long non-coding RNA is filed under the name Olea europaea (common olive). RNAcentral's name for it is "long non-coding RNA (OEUR_LNC008821)". Lineage: Eukaryota; Viridiplantae; Streptophyta; Magnoliopsida; Lamiales; Oleaceae. The record is from RNAcentral.